Molecule: RNA transcript, 1552 nt
Organism: Lactuca sativa (garden lettuce)
Lineage: Eukaryota; Viridiplantae; Streptophyta; Magnoliopsida; Asterales; Asteraceae
Source: RefSeq, a predicted model, not a curated record
AUUUUUCCUUUUUUUGUAAUUUAGCAUACAUGUGCAACCUUUAUAUACCACGUAUACGACUUGUCUUGUUCGAAGAAAGGGUUUGACAAUUAUUAUACUGGUGUUUAAGAAGGUAUCAGCCAACGGUUUAUGGCAAUAGGAGCAAGGACGAUGAACCAAGAAGAAGAGAUAAGAAACAAGAAGCAGCAAGAAGACGAUGAUGACGAUCAUGAAAACGACAUGGUGAUGCCAGGGUUUCGGUUUCAUCCAACGGAGGAAGAGCUUGUUGAGUUCUACCUUCGCCGUAAGGUAGAGGGCAAGAGAUUCAAUGUCGAGCUCAUCACUUUUCUUGAUCUUUACCGAUAUGAUCCGUGGGAACUACCUGCUUUAGCAGCAAUCGGGGAGAAAGAAUGGUUUUUCUAUGUGCCAAGAGAUAAGAAGUAUCGUAAUGGGGAUCGACCUAACCGUGUGACCACUUCAGGCUACUGGAAAGCUACCGGAGCUGAUAGAAUGAUUAGAACCGAUAAUUCCAGAUCCAUCGGAUUAAAGAAAACCCUUGUUUUUUACUCAGGAAAAGCUCCAAAAGGCAUUCGAAGUAGUUGGAUCAUGAAUGAAUACCGAUUACCCCAUCAUGAAACAGAAAGAUUACAAAAGGCUGAGAUCUCGCUGUGUAGGGUUUACAAGCGAAGUGGAGUAGAAGACCAUCCAUCUCUCCCUCGUUCUCUUCAAACAAGGAGUACCUCAAGAACCUCAAAUUAUCAUAUCAAUCAGCAAUCCCAGAAUUCUCCGAGUUUCAAUUGUUUUGAAGGCCAAUCUUCUCACCAUACUGAUGAAAAACCCAGUGAUACAACCAGUUGCACCCCCACCGCCAUUGUUGGAACUUCUCUCGGCCUUUCAAACCCUCUCAACUCCUCAUACAACAAUGUCAUUGCCACCCCCUCUUCAACUAUCUUCCCUAACAGUGUUGAUGAUCUUCCUAGAAUUAUCAGUUCUCAACGAGUUCUUGACACUUGCCCACCCUCUCAACUUCUGAAUAUUCAUAACUAUCACCUCGGUGAUUCUUCAAACUAUUCUCCGCAUCUCUUUGAUAAUAUGCUUCCUCAACCACAACAACAACAACAACUGCAGCCACAGUUGAGCUCACAAGCGCUUCUUGCACUUAAUAAUAACUUGGCAGGAGCUGGAGCUGGAGCUGUUCAUGUGACAUUUCCUGAAAGAAUUUGGGAGUGGAAUUCGAUGUUGAGUGAAGGAAGCAAAGAUUUGACGGCGCCUUUCAAGUAAUAUUGCUCCUAUAUAUGCAUAUAAUUACGGAAGUUGCGUAAUAUGAACUUCAAAAAGACUUAUUUUGUCAACUACUUUGCCUGCAGGUUUACCGCAUAGUCUACAGACAUGUUAAAUCAGGUUCUAUGGACUUGGAUCGUAUAAAGUAUAAACUGCAUUGAUCUCGUAUAUAUGAGCUUUUGCAAAAGUAUAUGAGACCGAUAUUGUUUCUCAAUCGAGUUAUGAGAAUGAUGUCAAAAUUGGGGAUUGUUUUAACUUUUUCUAUCAAAAAGAGAAAAAAAAAGUUUAAUGA